This 253-nucleotide long non-coding RNA is filed under the name Panax ginseng (ginseng). RNAcentral's name for it is "long non-coding RNA (PGIN_LNC004883)". Lineage: Eukaryota; Viridiplantae; Streptophyta; Magnoliopsida; Apiales; Araliaceae. The record is from RNAcentral.
UGCAAAGAUGAAUGAUUUUAUGAUGAAUAUCUUUGGCCCGUAGUGCAAAGAUGAACAUGUGUUUAGAUUAACAUGACCAACUGGUGAAUAUCUUUGGCCUGUAGUGCAAAGAUGAAUAUUUGAUUUAUGAUGUAUAUUGAUUGAUGUUAGAGGGAUAAAAUAUUGAUGAUGGACUUUUAAAUUCAUAGAUGGUAGUAGAUAUCAUUCUCUACUUAACUCUUCUAAUGAAUUGUUGUUUCCGCUGCAGUUGUUG